Molecule: transfer RNA, 72 nt
Filed under: Phytophthora megakarya
Lineage: Eukaryota; Oomycota; Peronosporomycetes; Peronosporales; Peronosporaceae
Rfam family: tRNA
About the family: Transfer RNA (tRNA) molecules are approximately 80 nucleotides in length. Their secondary structure includes four short double-helical elements and three loops (D, anti-codon, and T loops).
Source: Rfam by way of RNAcentral
GGGCGCGUAGCUCAAAUGGCAAGGCACCGCUGUUUAUGCGGACGGACGUGGGUUCGAUUCCCGCCGUGUCCA